AUGGUAUCACUAGUCAUGCUUGCGGUGCUCGUGCUGCUGCCGACAACAAUUGCCACGGUGACUACGGCUAGAAGAAACUGUCCCAACACUUGUGGUUCUGAAGUGAUACCUUACCCGUUCGGGCUAGAUCCUUCGUGCUCCUUGCCUGGUUUCAAUCUCACCUGUGCUGUCGACAAGAACACCAACGAGAGUUCUCUCAUGCUGGGGAUGGGCAACUCAAUCCUAAAGUUGUCUCAGGUUUAUGUGGAUGCCAACUUCAACCUCUACGUGAACACCAUUCUCUCGUACUCGACGAAAAUGAUUCCCGGCGUCCGCGACUACUCCAUCCACUGGGAAGCUCCAGCUAGGCCCUUUGCCAUAUCUGGCUCGUCAAACAUGUCCUUGUUCGUUGUCGGCUGCGAUGUCACGGCCUCGCUGUACAUUGGAAACUCGGCCGUUCAGGUCGGGAACUGCACUGUCGUCUGCGCAGAAGCUCAAAUCAUGGAGAAGCUACCUGUGUGGACAUGCGAUGGCAUGGUUGGCAUCGGAUGCUGUUCCAUCGGCAUACAGGUGAACCUAAGGGCGUUCACUCUCAACAUCUCAUGCAUCAUUGAUUCUCCACGCCCCAAACAAGUGCAAGCUUUCAUCGCCUACAAUUGGAACCCAACAUUCAGGCCGAUUGAUGCCUACUCUGGGUUAUUAGAGCGAUACGUUGCUCAACUGGAUUGGUCUAUUCCAUACCAACCAAACUGUAAGCAUGCCAUAGAGGACAAGGACAACUAUGCCUGCGUUAGUGACCACAACAAGUGUCAGGACUCGCCGAUCGGUGGAUACCUCUGCUACUGCCAGUCAGGCAGGGGGAAUGCUUACAUUGAUGGCGGCUGCCCUAAUCCUCCAGCCGCUCCAGAUACCAAUGAGUGCCAUCAGCCAGAUAAAUGCAGGGGUAUCUGCCAGAAUAGUUUCUGAAGCUAUACAUGUACCAGUUGUCCUCAUGGAACAGAUUUCAAUAGCGCCACAGGAAAAUGCAAGCCAACUAUUAUAAUAUUAGGUGUUACUAUUGGACUAACCAGUGGUGCAGGCAUUCUGUUUCUUGCCGCGAUUGUUGCUAUUCUAACUCGGAGAUGGAAGAGAAAUGUUCAGAAACGUUUGAGAAAGAGGCAUUUCCGUAAGAACAGAGGCAUUCUGCUAGAACAGCUGAUCUCUUCCGAUCAAAGUGCCAGUGAUGGCGGCACAAAGAUAUUCUCCCUGGAGGAGCUGCAAAAGGCAACCAAUAAUUUCGAUCACACCCGUGUGGUUGGACGCGGUGGCCAUGGCACUGUCUACAAGGGCAUCCUGACCGACCAGCGAGUGGUGGCCAUCAAGAAAUCAACGCUUGCGGUGAUCAGAGAGAUCGACAAGUUCAUCAGCGAGGUCUCCAUCCUAUCGCAGAUCAACCACCGGAACGUGGUGAAGCUGCAUGGAUGUUGCCUAGAAUCUGAGGUCCCUCUGCUUGUCUACGAGUUCGUCUCCAACGGCACGCUCUACGACCUCCUGCACCGCGAGCAGAACGGUAGCUUGUCGCCGUUGUCCUGGGAGGAGCGCCUGAGGGUCGCCACCGAGAUUGCAGGCGCGCUCACGUACCUGCACUCCGCGGCUUCCGUGUCAGAUCCUACACAGAGACGUCAAGUGCAUGAACGUGCUCCUGACGGACAGCUACACCGCAAAGGUUUCAGACUUCGGCGCGUCGAGGCUGAUCCCGGUCGACCAGACACACCUAGUCACUGCCGUUCAGGGCACGUUUGGGUACCUAGAUCCGGAGUAUUACCACACCGGUCAGCUCAACGAAAAGAGCGAUGUUUAUAGUUUCGGAGUGAUACUCGUUGAGCUGCUGACGAGGAGGAAGCCGAUCAUUCAGAACGAGUAUGGCGAGAAGCAGAACCUGUCCAACUACUUCUUGUGGGCUAUGAGGGAGAGGCCCCUCGAGGAGACAGUGGACGCUCAGAUCCUCGAUGAAGCGAAUGGGGAACGGGUUCUGUGCAUGGCUCGGUUGGCGGAGGAGUGCCUAUGUCUGACACGAGUGCAGAGGCCUACCAUGAAGGAUGUGGAGAUGAGGCUGCAGCUCCUGGCGGGGCGCCGUGUUGUACCAAGGGCGGGGCCGCAUGAAGGGGCACAACCUCGCCGUGAAGCUACGGGAGACGUUGGGCGUGGUUGUGUUGUUCCGGUGA
RNAcentral lists this ribosomal RNA (2183 nucleotides) under Triticum aestivum (bread wheat). Its description in RNAcentral is "partial small subunit ribosomal RNA". The record is from RNAcentral. Lineage: Eukaryota; Viridiplantae; Streptophyta; Magnoliopsida; Poales; Poaceae.